Molecule: long non-coding RNA, 5825 nt
Organism: Nerophis ophidion (straightnose pipefish)
Lineage: Eukaryota; Metazoa; Chordata; Actinopteri; Syngnathiformes; Syngnathidae
Exons: 3
Source: RefSeq, a predicted model, not a curated record
GUCAGGAAUGGGAUGGCACUUCAAGUUCAUAUGUGGUACGUGGCCAAAUACUUUUGGCAAUGUAGUGUAUACUGUAUGUCGUGGAUUAAUACGGUGGAUCCAAAAAAGCUUUCGAGGACAACAUCGUACCCGCCUUGUUCCGUGUGCUCGAGCUCUGUGCCUCGACCUCCAUCCGGAUUUUGGACUGCCUCCCUUGAUCCUGGACCCUUGCCUGGACACAGACCUUGUCGUUUCUCUCCUGCCCUCGACCUCCUGCCUGUCCCCGGACUUCCUUUGUGCCUCACCCUCUCGGACGGACAAAGAAUUCAUCCAUCCCGCACGUACAACAUCCUCUGAUGGCGUUAUGUCAGACGCUGGGCCGCACUGAGAGGCACACUGGCACGCAUCAAAUAAUGAGCGUGGCUUCUUAAGCACACAGCUGGAACAAGAGCAGGCAGGAUCUUUACUGUACUUUGACAUGCUUCAGGACUCUGUUGUUUCCUGUUUAGUCCACCACCAGUUCUUAUGAUCACUACAACCAAAUGAGUUAUGUUACUUCUAUCAUUUUCCCUUUCAAAAACGAUUUACUAUUUUUUUCAUCCUAAUAUAUUCAGAACUCUCCGAUGUAUGUUUUAUGCUGACGAUUACGAGGAUCCACUAGUGAGAUCGGCCGAUACAAUUCACAUGUAUUAAAUGUAAAUUUCUCAAUUUGUUUAUGGUGAAAUACUCCCGGUUUCCUGUUCACAUUUGUACGGAGUACACACUGCGCCUCUUUACCAUCACCGUCUGCAUGGUGACACCCUCACUUAGCUCACUGAAUACUCAGUGCUUUUAGUCAGUUACUGUAAUACUUUCAUAUUGUCCUUUACUAACUUUGUUGUCAAAUGUGCAUGUUUUAUUUUGAAUUAUCUUUUUAGGUGGCGCUUUGAGAUGUCAAUACAUUAAAUAAAUUGUGGGACUUCCACUUAUGAUACAAUAAAGAGUAUAGUAUAGAAAUGAUGGCUGUGUCACAAAUGUGCCCUUUAAUAAGUAAGCAUAUUGUGUACCCUUACGCCGAUUUUGACAGUUUUAGAAAUUGCGAUUACUCGCCUUCAUUUAAGUAGACUAGAUGGCAACUAUCAAGGGUGCCAAGUGUCCAAGCACUAUACACUCAACAUUUGUAUCAAUGAGAACAAACAGUGCACUGCAUUCUGCUGUACUUCUUAGUAGGAACAUGACUUAUGACUUGAAGUGUUACUACACAAGUGCACCAAUUGAGACACGGCCUUACCUUGUACAUAUCUUCAUAUUUCAAGAAGAGGACAUUAGAGUCCAUACGAUGUUCCCAAAAUUCUAAAACAUGUUCAAACCAGGAACCAUAUCCUACUAAGAAAAAAAAAAAACACAGGUCAUUUUGAGUUUGCCGUCGUCUCUGGACAGUCCAAUAACCAGAUCAAUAACUGAGUUCAAUUAGUAUAGAAUGUGGUAACUGCCAUACUUACACUUUUCAUUCAUGAAACGCUGGCAGAACUCUUGGAAGGUUCCUCGGUAGCUCAUGGUCCUAAGAGAUCGGUGGAACUGGUAGUAGGAUACUACCAAGUCUUUUGGGUUACGAGCCAUGUAUAUUACCUGCAUCGAAGGAUAUUGAGAGUAUUGGGGGAAUAACACAUUUCUUAUGAUGCAGGUUAAGGUUCAAAAGGGGAAACAAGACGAAGGGCACCAAGAAAUUGAAUAGAAAAAGUACUGAUGCUUGGUGUCACAAACACUGUGGCUUUGCCUUUUUCACUUUUUUCCUAAACAAACAUACUACAAAAAAUAUAUAUAUAUUUAUAUAUAUAUAUAAUUCAGUGCAAGGCCCAUGCUGCCUUGUGUUAUUGUAACAAUGUUAUAACACAACAGAGAGGGAUCUUGUUGAUAAAAGUUGCAUUACCUUUAACAUAACAGGCAUCACUUAAUAAUUAGAAAUAGGCUACAUGUAUGUUAUGUCUCCUUAUGUUUGUCUGCUCUUGAAUGGGAUUCUGCUGAAAAUCUUAAUUUCUCCUCGGGGAUUAUUAAAGUAUUUGUGUUCUGAUUAAUAUAAAUAUAUAUUAAUAUUUUCUAACAGAUGAACUCAACUGUUUCUGCUGCAAGCACAGGAGGAUCUGAGGAAAGUGUGAGUUCUCAUAUACAAAAUGCACAACAAACACACUGCUGAGGGCAUUGGCAAAAAGACUACACUUGAUUGAACAUUAAAUUUGACGGAUAUUGACUCCAUAAAAAUGUAAAGUUAGGAGACAUGAGCCAACAUGGAACUGACCUUUGCCUCUCCAUUGUGUAUUCCUGAGGGAAGGAAUCGGUAGGGAAGAUGACUUUUGAUCAGGCGGGGGGACAUAAGCUCCUGUAGAAAUAAUAAUUACAGUAAAAAUUAUUAGACCGUUAACUGUUGCUUGGUUUUUCCAUACAUGGGCUACAAAUCAGUAUGCCGUACUUAACCAGAUUUUAAAUACCUUUAUGAUGUCCAGGCCUGGUUGAGGGUACUCUAAGACAGGCAACUGUUCAUCAAUGUUCAUAAAGCCAAUCUCAUUUGGGUCUGCUCCUUGACUCACAAGAUACACAACCUCUUGAAGUAGACUGGUGCCUGCAGUGACAGGAAGCAAAGGCACAUUAGUGGAUAAUGACACAUAAUGGUAAAAAUAUACAGUGUAAAUUAGGGCUGUCAAAAGCUACGUUCUGAUUGCCUGAGUUGAGAAACUACUGAAAAAGACAGUUUCUUGGAUUAAAUCCCUUUUUUUCAGCGUUUGUCAAACGUCAGACAAAAUAAUCCAACAAAUUUCCCACAGAAAUACUGUUUUUAUUACAUUAAGUGCCUUAAAAAAUAUUACUUAUUUCAGCCAAAAUGAUAUGUUGUUUUCAAAGAGUCCACUGCUGGCAAGUUUGAUACAAAUUAUUCAGAUAUAAUUAAUAAAACAUCCAAACAAAAUGAUAUACAAAUAAAUUAUUAAAAGGAAAAUCACCAACUUGCUCCACAUACACUAUAUUGCCAAAAGUAUUUGGCCACUCAUCCAAAUGAUCAAAAUCAAGUGUCCUAAUCACUUGGCCCGGCCACAGGUGUAUAAAUUCAAGCCCUUCGGCAUAGAAACUGUUUCUACAAACAUUUGCGAAAGAAUGGGUCGCUCUCAGUGAUUUCCAGUGUGGAACUGUCAUAGGAUGCCACCUGUGUAACAAAUCCAGUCGUGAAACUUCCUUGCUCCUAAAUAUUCCAAAGUCAUCUGUCGGCUUUAUUAUAAGAAAAUGGAAAAGUUUGGGAACAACAGCAACUCAGCCACAAAGUGGUAGGCCAUGUACACUGACAGAGAGGGGCCAGCGGACGCUGAAGCGGAUAUUGCAAAGAGGUCGCCAACUUUCUGCACAGUCAAUUGCAAGAGAGCUCCAAACUUCAUGUGACCUUCCAAUUAGCCCACGUACAGUACACACAGAGCUUCAUGGAAUGUGUUUCCAUGGCCGAGCAGCUGUAUGUAAGCCAUACAUCACCAAGUCCAAUGCAAAGCUUUGGAUGCAGUGGUGUAAAGCACGUUGCCACCGGACUCUAGAGCAGUUCUCUGGAGUGUUGAAUCACGUUUUUUCAUCUGGCAAUCUGAUGGACGAGUCAGGGCUUGGAGAUUGCAUUGUGCCGAGUGUGAAAUUAGGUGGAGGAGGAAUUAUGGAGUGGGGUUGUUUUUCCAGGAGUUCCUUAGUUGCAGUGAAAGGAACUUUGAAUGCUCCAGGAUACCAAAACAUGUUGGUCAAUUCCAUACUCCCAACCUUGUGGGAACAGUUUGGAGUAGGCCCCUUCCUCUUCCAACAUGACUGUGCACAAAUGUAGAAAGCAAAGUCCAUAAAGAAAUUGAUGACAGAGUCUGGUGUGGAUGAUCUUGACUGGCCUGCACAGAGUCUUGACCUGAACCCGAUAGAACACCUUUGGGAUGAAUUAGAACAGAAACUGAGAACUAGGCCUUCUCGACCAACAUCAGUGUGUGACCUCACCAAUGCGCUUUUGGAAGAAUGGUCGAAAAUUCCUAUAAACACACAAACCUUGUGGACAGCCUCCCCAGAAGAGUUGAAGCUGUAACAGCUGCAAAAGGUGGACCGACAUCAUAUUGAACCCUAUAGGUUAAGAAUGGGAUGGCACUUCAAGUUCAUAUGUGGGUCAAGGCAGGUGGCCAAAUACUUUUGGCAAUAUAGUGUGUGAGUGUGAGUGUGAGUGUGUGUGUCUGUGUGUGUGUGUGUGUGCGUGUGUGUGUGUGUGUGUGUGUGUGUGUGUGGAGAAAAAAAGAUACAUUAGUUCAAUCGACCACCUUCUCCUCAUUCUUAACGUCACAGUAGAUGAUUAGAUGGCAGACCCUACGAAACAGUUAGCCCCUUUGUACCUGUAGCACAUUGUAGAAACAAACGAAAAAAAUGCCAAAGUGCAAGAAAAAAAGAGAAAAAGAGCAUGUUGUAACACGAGUAAGCACUCCCGUAUACGAUGAGAGUUGGCCAUCCUGUGGACAUUUUCUAAAAGCCAUUAAAACACAUUUGUUUAAGCAUGUGUUCCAGUAACAUUCCAUGAUCAUUUUUAUAUAUUUUUUAAAUAUUUUCAUUAUCAUAUUUAAUCUGCACUAUCUCUGCUGUUGCAUUAUGCUAUAUGCUGAUAUUUAAUUAUGCUGUUUGUAUUUAAACCAUGUGAAGCACUUUGGGAGCUCUCUCUGUGAGAAGUACUAUAUCAAUAACAUCUACUUACUUCCUUACAUGUAAAUAGCUACUAAUAGCUAAUAACAACACAAAGAUGUGUCUUUAAAUAUAUUUUUAUAGCGUUUUACGCCCCUUAAAAAAUGAUGUGAAUAAUGAGUCACCCACCCACCUUUGUCAUGGCUAAUUAUGCAGAGUCCCAAUUCUUGGGGGGCCAAAAUAAGCAGUGUCUGAAGUGCAGAAAAGUUUGAUGAGCUUAAAACCCUACACUUAAUCACAACUUAAUGCGCUCAAUAAAACAAUAAGAAGAUUUAAAAUGUAUGUGGACAAAUAAAGAAGAACAGCACCUUCUUUUAUUUUAUUUUGAUGAAUGACUCAUUAUCCUUGCAAAGAAAAAAGGGUUUUGGAGCAGAGCGUCUUGUCGGGUUUUUCUUGCCAUUUCCGUGUCCAAGUUGUCUAUCAAAGUGUACCAACUUCUUAGUUUAUGUCCAAAUCAUUUUACUAUCAAGGUGAAAGGCACGAUUUAUAAUGUAGUAUCAAUUUUUACAAGCUCAGGAGCGAAAAAGCAGCUCACCGGCUGAUGAUGUCAGAUCACAAAAUAUAAAUGGGAGUAUUGUUGGCGCUUUUUGGAUGGUUAAAUAUUGGGUUUUAUGGUCGGAAUAGACACAAUCGAAGCAAUGAUGUCAUGGCUCCCCAAGACUCUUGUAAGCUGACUGUCACCACCUGCUGUAACCUUGUGGUUCGUAUUCAGUUUUCCUCUGUUGGUGCAGUUGACCAUGUUGACCUUCACUUAAUUUCUCCUUCCCCUUAGAGUUCCUGUUUCCACUAAGUGGGCGGAGUUGUGAGACAUGCACAGCUGCCUCCAAUAUACCCGGAUGAUAUUUAAGCAGCACCUUGGCAGCUGGAUGGCACUUGGUGAUUCCAAUCCUUGGCUCUCCACUCCUGACGACUUCCAUGUUUCGUGUUACUUGUUAUCCUGGCCGCUCCCGGUGCCAUCCAGCUUGGUGUCUGCGUCAGCAGUUGCACAUCUUGCAACUCCAACCCAAGUUUGUUCUAGUUUUGUAUAAUAGUUUUUGUUUAUCCACGGUGCCCAUUUUGAGUUCUCCUUUUUGCACCGCCGCCUUUUGUUCUCUCCUGUGAGGAGCACCUUUUUGUGAGUACGCUACCCAAGUAAAGAACUG